GAGGCCUCCCAGGACGGCGGUCCGUCUCAGAGCAGGGACCCAGAGGACAUGGCCCAGGCCAGGGUGGACAUCAGGAAGCUGCAGCAGUUCCUCAUGGGUCAGCAGGUCAACCCCAGCAAGGCCAUGUGCAAUAUCGUCCACGAGAGAGUCGUCCACCUGAUUCUGCUGCAUGAAGAUGUGUCGCUGCAGUAUUUCAUCCCCGCUGUGGCCUAGACCUUCUGCAGACCCCAGUCAGUUCUGCUCACUGUGAGUUUGGGGACAUAUAAAAUGGGUUUUGGACAGAGGAUUCUCAAUGUCUGGGAGUCUGUCCCACCGAGGCUGGUUUCAGUCCUCAGCGCGGACCUAAGGAAGAGCUCACAUGUUCACAGGACAUGCUGGUGAAUCCACAUUUAUCGCGACGAAGUCGGACAGAAAACGGAAACAAGUUGCAUAUUAGUUGUUUGGGACGUUCAGUUUGUUAUUGUAUUUGCAUUAAAUGAGUUGUAAUAUUUAA
Long non-coding RNA from Perca flavescens (yellow perch), 493 nucleotides. RefSeq lists it as uncharacterized. The transcript is spliced from 2 exons. The record is from RefSeq and is a predicted model, not a curated record. Lineage: Eukaryota; Metazoa; Chordata; Actinopteri; Perciformes; Percidae.